This 76-nucleotide transfer RNA is filed under the name bacterium. RNAcentral describes it as "tRNA-Ala". It matches the Rfam family "tRNA". From Rfam's summary of the family: Transfer RNA (tRNA) molecules are approximately 80 nucleotides in length. RNAcentral also lists the same sequence under 5 other names. The record is from RNAcentral.
GGGGCCAUAGCUCAGCUGGGAGAGCGCUUGACUGGCAGUCAAGAGGUCGGGAGUUCGAUCCUCCCUGGCUCCACCA